CAAGGAAUUUUCCCCAAUGGGCGCAAGCCUGAGGGAGCAACGCCGCGUGGAGGACGACGGCCUUCGGGUUGUAAACUCCUUUCGGGCGGGACGAUGAUGACGGUACCGCCAGAAGCAGCCCCGGCUAACUCUGUGCCAGCAGCCGCGGUAAGACAGAGGGGGCAAGCGUUGUCCGGAGUUACUGGGCGUAAAGGGCGCGGAGGCGGUCUGCGGCGUCGGCGCUGAAAGCGCCCCGCUUAACGGGGCGAGGCGCGCCGAUACGCGCAGGCUUGAGGCGAGCAGAGGGCGGCGGAAUUCCGGGUGGAGCGGUGAAAUGCGUAGAGAUCCGGAGGAACGCCAGUGGAGAAGUCGGCCGCCUGGGCUCGACCUGACGCUGCGGCGCGACAGCGUGGGGAGCAAACCGGAUUAGAUACCCGGGUAGUCCACGCCGUAAACGAUGCCGGCUCGGCGUUUGGCGCGCGCGAGCGCGCUGGGCGCCUUAGCUCACGCGGUAAGCCGGCCGCCUGGACAC
This 511-nucleotide ribosomal RNA is filed under the name uncultured bacterium. Its description in RNAcentral is "bacterial SSU rRNA". It matches the Rfam family "Bacterial small subunit ribosomal RNA", at positions 355 to 880 of the family's 1533-position model. The record is from RNAcentral.